AGACAGGACUUGCUGGCGCUGUGUGUAUACUUGAUGAUGAACCCACAACUAGUGGUAGACAGUGUGGUCAGAUUGAUCCUAGUGUAUGUCAAAGUCAAAAAGUUAGCUGCUCGCUUGCUGUAAUGGUCCAGCCUGAAUCUGGACCUCUUUGUUUGUUCGGCGCUGAAUUCCAGAAGAAUAUUUGCUGGGAAUUUCGAAUCUGGACCUCUUUGUUUGUUCGGCACUGAAUUCCAGAAGAAUAUUUGCUGGGAAUUUCUUGUGGCUGGCUCUGAGCAAGGCAUUGAAGCUGGACAAGUUGGGCUUAGAUUAAUUACUAAAACUGAUAAACAAACUACUGUAAAGGAAUGGAGUAUAAGUGGCACCAGUAUAGCAGAUGGAAGGUUUGCAAAUUUUUCCUCUUUGUUUCUGUGUGAAUUGCUGUGAAAAGGUGGUCUCUGUGGUUGCUUAGGACUUCUGUCUUGUUCUUCUUUUCUGAUAAAUCAAUGUAUAUUUUAUUAGUACCCACUAAGGUGGUGUUAACUAUACAAGAAACAGUACA
This 538-nucleotide long non-coding RNA is filed under the name Nicotiana benthamiana. Its description in RNAcentral is "long non-coding RNA (NBEN_LNC034216)". The record is from RNAcentral. Lineage: Eukaryota; Viridiplantae; Streptophyta; Magnoliopsida; Solanales; Solanaceae.